Molecule: antisense RNA, 53 nt
Filed under: Escherichia coli
Lineage: Bacteria; Pseudomonadati; Pseudomonadota; Gammaproteobacteria; Enterobacterales; Enterobacteriaceae
Also listed under: 3 other names
Description: Qin prophage; small regulatory RNA DicF
Rfam family: DicF RNA
About the family: DicF RNA is an antisense inhibitor of cell division gene ftsZ. DicF and Hfq are necessary to reduce FtsZ protein levels, leading to cell filamentation under anaerobic conditions.
Source: RNAcentral
UUUCUGGUGACGUUUGGCGGUAUCAGUUUUACUCCGUGACUGCUCUGCCGCCG